This 85-nucleotide transfer RNA is filed under the name Eggerthellaceae bacterium. Its description in RNAcentral is "tRNA-Leu". It matches the Rfam family "tRNA". Rfam says of the family: Transfer RNA (tRNA) molecules are approximately 80 nucleotides in length. Their secondary structure includes four short double-helical elements and three loops (D, anti-codon, and T loops). Further hydrogen bonds mediate the characteristic L-shaped molecular structure. tRNAs have two regions of fundamental functional importance: the anti-codon, which is responsible for specific mRNA codon recognition, and the 3' end, to which the tRNAs corresponding amino acid is attached (by aminoacyl-tRNA synthetases). tRNAs cope with the degeneracy of the genetic code in two manners: having more than one tRNA (with a specific anti-codon) for a particular amino acid; and 'wobble' base-pairing, i.e. permitting non-standard base-pairing at the 3rd anti-codon position. Lineage: Bacteria; Bacillati; Actinomycetota; Coriobacteriia; Eggerthellales; Eggerthellaceae. The record is from RNAcentral. RNAcentral also lists the same sequence under 3 other names.
GGGGGCGUGGCGGAACUGGCAUACGCAGCGGACUUAAAAUCCGCCGCCGCAAGGCUUAAGGGUUCGAACCCCUUCGCCCCUACCA